Molecule: ribosomal RNA, 253 nt
Filed under: uncultured bacterium
Lineage: Bacteria
Description: partial 16S ribosomal RNA
Rfam family: Bacterial small subunit ribosomal RNA
Source: RNAcentral
AACGUAGGACGCAAGCGUUAUCCGGAGUUACUGGGCGUAAAGCGCGGGCAGGCGGCUCGAAACGUCUGAUGUGAAAGCACCCGGCUCAACCGGGUGAGGCCAUUGGAAACGGUCGAGCUGGAGGGCAGUAGAGGUAGGCGGAAUUCCGGGUGGAGUGGUGAAAUGCGUAGAGAUCCGGAGGAACACCAGAGGCGAAGGCGGCAUCCUGGACCGGCAUUGACGCUGAGGCGCGAAAGCUAGGGGAGCAAACGGG